GCGCCUAUAGUUCAAGGGAUAGAAUAACGGUUUGCGGAACCGUUGAUCCAGGUUCGAGUCCUGGUAGGCGCACCC
Molecule: transfer RNA, 75 nt
Filed under: Minisyncoccota bacterium
Lineage: Bacteria; Bacillati; Minisyncoccota
Description: tRNA-Arg
Rfam family: tRNA
About the family: Transfer RNA (tRNA) molecules are approximately 80 nucleotides in length. Their secondary structure includes four short double-helical elements and three loops (D, anti-codon, and T loops). Further hydrogen bonds mediate the characteristic L-shaped molecular structure. tRNAs have two regions of fundamental functional importance: the anti-codon, which is responsible for specific mRNA codon recognition, and the 3' end, to which the tRNAs corresponding amino acid is attached (by aminoacyl-tRNA synthetases). tRNAs cope with the degeneracy of the genetic code in two manners: having more than one tRNA (with a specific anti-codon) for a particular amino acid; and 'wobble' base-pairing, i.e. permitting non-standard base-pairing at the 3rd anti-codon position.
Source: RNAcentral